Non-coding RNA from Delphinapterus leucas (beluga whale), 2729 nucleotides. The record is from RefSeq and is a predicted model, not a curated record. NCBI's taxonomy places the organism in Eukaryota, Metazoa, Chordata, Mammalia, Artiodactyla, Monodontidae.
GCAGGCGCACAGCAGGGCUAGGGCGAGGUCGGAGGCGGCAAAGGGGUGAAGGCGGAGGAGGUAGUGCCUGGGAACAGGCAACCUGUGUCUGGCGCGGUGCCCUGCAGCUGGUGGCGGGUGGGGCCGGCGGGCGGGCUACCGCUUUCCCGUGUCGACGGAGGCUGCUGACGGGAAAACGAUCCGGGAGGGAGCGCCUCGGCCCAGGUCCCUUCCCCUGAAAACCUGCGAGAUUUCAGGGCCGAGUAAGCCAAGCAGAAGAUCUGGGCAGUGUUAACAAACGGACGUUGGGAUUCGCAGAGAUCAGCCUUCGAGGCCUCUGUCUGCCCGCCACCGGCUCUGUGACGUCUGGCGUGUCACAGCCUGGCCUCAGUUUCCCCACCCUUCUAGAGGGCUUGCGGCUUGCGAGUGGCCCCGAAGAAAAGAGUUAACGUCACAAAUACUACCGGCCUAGUAGCAAGAUGCAGGUCCCCCAGGGAAAGUGCAGGAGUGGGAGCCUUACCAUGUGCUACAGUGCUCGUGACAGUCUGCUUGGCAGUCACUUACCGAGAAGAAUGAAUGGCUGGCUACUGUAUAAACCCUCCCCCAUAUCUGUUCAGGUAGUUCUCCGUUAUCAUGAAUCAGGUUCAACUGAAGAGGCUGUUCUAAGAAAGACAACUGAGAUCAUCAGUCACCCCCUCAGAGAAAGUCCACUGAGGUAGAGUUUUGUUUACCAUGUAAACAACGCAACAUUUAUUGUUGAAUCCCUUAUUCUUUUACAGUCAGACUAGAGAAAUGCAAUUUUUUUUUUUUGGUGGGGGCGUGAGGGUCAAAGAAGGGGUCAUGGUCGAGAAGAUGGGUCCUGGGAAGAUGGACCUGUAAGCCAUAGAAUCCCCUCGGGGAAGAUUCAGGAAGGCAAAGACUGUCCUUUCAACUCAAAUGUCAAAUGCGUUUCCACUUAUCUUACCAAGCAAGACGACAAACAGGAUUUUCCCAGAGUGCCUGGCGAUGCUUAGGUGACAGGAGUGACUGAGGGGCAGGCCUGGAGACAGAUCCUUGGCUGCCCCAUGUAUCCAAACCUCCCCAUGUAUCCAAACCCCCAGAAAAUGCCUGGAAGAGAGCGGAAGGGGAGGAUUGAAGAUAAUCCUUAACUUUUCUAAAGCAGGGAUAUAUUACACUCAAUAAACUUUAAAUAUUUGCCCCUCUUGUGAGUUAGGGUGACUGUUUGCAUUGAAGAGGAAGAAAAUAAUCUUUAGAGCUCAUUUUUCUAAGAUCAUGGAAAACAAACAAAUAAAACCCAGAAUCCAUUGCUUUGGGUGAAAAAACAGUGAUAGUAACUCUAAGUAUGCUCAAUGACUCCAAAAUUGUCAUUUAUAGUAUCUAUUAUAUAUUUUAAAAAAACUAAAUUGAAAAAAUAGAUUCCAAAGGUAAGAAGAUUGAGGGUUGGGGGCUAGAGGGAUGGACAGGUAGAGCACAGAGGACUUGUAGGACAGUGAACCUAUUCUGUUUGCUGCUCUAACAGUGGAUCCACGUCAUUAUACAUUUGUCAAAAGCUACAGAAUGUACAACGCCAAGAGUGAAUCCUAACGUAAACUACUGUCUUUAGUUAAUAAGGACGUAUCUAGAUUAGUUUAUCAAUUGUAGUAGCUACACCACAGUAAUACAGAAGUUAAUAACGGGAACUGGCGGGUGAGGUGGGGAAAAGGGGGCAUACGGAACUCAGUUCUUUCUGCUCAGUGUUUCCUGUAAAAAAUAAAACCUAUUUCAAAAAAUGGAUCCCACACCUGGAAUUUGUUGGCCAGCCUGAAAUGAAACUCAAGGGUCCAGGUCCCUGUAUCUCACAGGUUUGUUUCUGUAGCAAGCCCAUGUCGUCAGUGUGUCAGUGGGAAGAGCUGCGUCCUAGGAUCUGGAGCUGAAGCCCUGACAGUCCAGAGUGUUCACAGGACAGUGAGCUGGGGUGAGUCAGCCAACCAGCCUGGGUCUCUGCUCCCUCUCUUUUUUUUUUUUUUUUUUUUGAGAAAGAGAUUACUGGCUACUUCACAGGGUGAAUGUGAGGAUCAAAUGGCUGUAAGAACGUGGCCCGUCAACUGGAAAGCACUAUGCACAAGUAUAGGUCAGUGUCAGCGGCCUAAGGUCACAAAGCUGGUCUGCGGCCCACGAUGCCGACCCCAGGUGUGGCGCCUGACUGCCACGUAAGUUAGUUCUCCCCCUCCCGGGGUGAGGGUUUCGAUUUUAGAGGCACAGAUUUCUCUUUUGCCGAUGGAGCCACGGGAAGGGUGCCCACGCUGCUCGCAAGUGCAGGCGUCAGCGUGGUCUGCUGCUCUUGUCUCGGACGACAUCACCCAGACAGGCCCCAUUAUAUAAUCUUCAGCUGGGAUGGAAUGACCACUCACCCUUCCAGACUCAGUUAAUAGCUGUCCUUGGACGAUACAGUGUAACAGAGACGCCCCGCCAGGGAGAGAACCGCACCCAUUUCUGAUGAAAUCCCUAGGCAGAGUCAGCUGCAGAGUCACUGCUUCAUGUCACUCUGGGCCCUCAGGUGAAGUGAUGCUGGGCUCCCACUGGGGCCACGAGAAAGCAGCGCUCCCUACUUGGAGAGGUGCAGCUGGUUCCUGGGCCCCUGAGGUGGUGGGAGGAAGAAGCCUGAGGUCACAGAGGAGGGGAGAAAGGUGGGGGAUGGCCUGUGCUGGAACAGGGCAGGGCGGGCCGGGCGGAGAUUCCUGAUGAAGAGCCCUCAGGCGAACUCGGCUUCU